UGGGGAAUAUUGGACAAUGGAGGGAACUCUGAUCCAGCAAUUCUGUGUGCACGAAGAAGGUUUUCGGAUUGUAAAGUGCUUUCAGUAGGGAAGAAGAAAGUGACGGUACCUACAGAAGAAGCGACGGCUAAAUACGUGCCAGCAGCCGCGGUAAUACGUAUGUCGCAAGCGUUAUCCGGAAUUAUUGGGCUUAAAGGGCAUCUAGGCGGUUUUUCAAGUCAGGGGUGAAAACUUAUGGCUCAACUAUAAGCUUGCCUUUGAAACUGAAAGACUAGAGUACUGGAAAGGUGGGUGGAACUACACGAGUAGAGGUGAAAUUCGUAGAUAUGUGUAGGAAUGCCGAUGAUGAAGAUAACUCACUGGACAGAAACUGACGCUGAAGUGCGAAAGCUAGGGGAGCAAACAGGAUUAGAUACCCUGGUAGUCCUAGCUGUAAACGAUGAUCACUGGGUGUGGGGAUGAAUAGUCUCUGUGCCGAAGCAAAAGCGAUAAGUGAUCCGCCUGGGGAGUACGUACGCAAGCAU
Molecule: ribosomal RNA, 524 nt
Filed under: uncultured bacterium
Lineage: Bacteria
Description: bacterial SSU rRNA
Rfam family: Bacterial small subunit ribosomal RNA
Source: RNAcentral